GAUGAACGCUGGCGGCGUGCCUAAUACAUGCAAGUCGAGCGAACAGAUAAGGAGCUUGCUCCUUUGACGUUAGCGGCGGACGGGUGAGUAACACGUGAAUAACCUACCUAUAAGACUGUGAUAACUUCGGGAAACCGGAGCUAAUACCGGAUAACAUAUUGAACCGCAUGGUUCAAUAGUGAAAGGCGGCUUUGCUGUCACUUAUAGAUGGAUCCGCGCCGUAUUAGCUAGUUGGUAUGGUAACGGCUUACCAAGGCAACGAUACGUAGCCGACCUGAGAGGGUGAUCGGCCACACUGGAACUGAGACACGGUCCAGACUCCUACGGGAGGCAGCAGUAGGGAAUCUUCCGCAAUGGGCGAAAGCCUGACGGAGCAACGCCGCGUGAGUGAUGAAGGUCUUCGGAUCGUAAAACUCUGUUAUCAGGGAAGAACAAAUGUGUAAGUAACUGUGCACAUCUUGACGGUACCUGAUCAGAAAGCCACGGCUAACUACGUGCCAGCCGCCGCAGUAA
This 513-nucleotide ribosomal RNA is filed under the name uncultured bacterium. RNAcentral describes it as "partial 16S ribosomal RNA". It matches the Rfam family "Bacterial small subunit ribosomal RNA", at positions 28 to 523 of the family's 1533-position model. The record is from RNAcentral.